GACGAACGCUGGCGGCGUGCCUAAUACAUGCAAGUCGAACGCUUCUUUCCUCCCGAGUGCUUGCACUCAAUUGGAAAGAGGGGUGGCGGACGGGUGAGUAACACGUGGGUAACCUACCCAUCAGAGGGGGAUAACACUUGGAAACAGGUGCUAAUACCGAAUAACAGUUUAUGCCGCAUGGCAUAAGAGUGAAAGGCGCUUUCGGGUGUCGCUGAUGGAUGGACCCGCGGUGCAUUAGCUAGUUGGUGAGGUAACGGCUCACCAAGGCCACGAUGCAUAGCCGACCUGAGAGGGUGAUCGGCCACACUGGGACUGAGACACGGCCCAGACUCCUACGGGAGGCAGCAGUAGGGAAUCUUCGGCAAUGGGCGAAAGUCUGACCGAGCAACGCCGCGUGAGUGAAGAAGGUUUUCGGAUCGUAAAACUCUGUUGUUAGAGAAGAACAAGGACGUUAGUAACUGAACGUCCCCUGACGGUAUCUAACCAGAAAGCCACGGCUAACUACGUG
This 508-nucleotide ribosomal RNA is filed under the name uncultured bacterium. Its description in RNAcentral is "partial 16S ribosomal RNA". It matches the Rfam family "Bacterial small subunit ribosomal RNA", at positions 28 to 507 of the family's 1533-position model. The record is from RNAcentral.